RNAcentral lists this ribosomal RNA (253 nucleotides) under uncultured bacterium. RNAcentral describes it as "partial 16S ribosomal RNA". It matches the Rfam family "Bacterial small subunit ribosomal RNA", at positions 524 to 776 of the family's 1533-position model. The record is from RNAcentral.
UACAGAGGUCUCGAGCGUUGUUCGGAUUCAUUGGGCGUAAAGGGCACGUAGGCGGCGGGGCAAGUCGGGUGUGAAAUCUCAGAGCUCAACUCUGAAACUGCACUCGAUACUGCUCUGCUUGAGGACUGGAGAGGAGACUGGAAUUCACGGUGUAGCAGUGAAAUGCGUAGAUAUCGUGAGGAAGACCAGUGGCGAAGGCGGGUCUCUGGACAGUUCCUGACGCUGAGGCGCGAAGGCCAGGGGAGCAAACGGG